This 454-nucleotide ribosomal RNA is filed under the name uncultured Rikenellaceae bacterium. Its description in RNAcentral is "partial 16S ribosomal RNA". It matches the Rfam family "Bacterial small subunit ribosomal RNA", at positions 341 to 792 of the family's 1533-position model. The record is from RNAcentral. Lineage: Bacteria; Pseudomonadati; Bacteroidota; Bacteroidia; Bacteroidales; Rikenellaceae.
ACGGAAGGCAGCAGUGAGGAAUAUUGGUCAAUGGACGCAAGUCUGAACCAGCCAUGCCGCGUGCAGGAAUAAGGCCCUAUGGGUCGUAAACUGCUUUUGUGGUGGAGCAAUAAGUCGUACGUGUACGGCGAUGAGAGUACAUCGCGAAUAAGCAUCGGCUAACUCCGUGCCAGCAGCCGCGGUAAUACGGAGGAUGCAAGCGUUAUCCGGAUUUAUUGGGUUUAAAGGGUGCGUAGGCUGUGGUCCAAGUCAGGGGUGAAAGCCCGGAGCUCAACUCCGGAACUGCCUUUGAUACUGGAUUGCUGGAAUACGGAUGCCGUGGGAGGAAUGAGUAGUGUAGCGGUGAAAUGCAUAGAUAUUACUCAGAACACCGAUUGCGAAGGCAUCUCACGAAUCCGUCAUUGACGCUGAGGCACGAAAGCGUGGGGAUCAAACAGGAUUAGAUACCCUGGUA